GUCUAUGGCCAUACCACCCUGAACAUGCCCCAUCUCGUCUGAUCUCAGAAGCUAAGCAGGGUUGGGCCUGGUUAGUACUUGGAUGGGAGAAAAGCUAUACUAGCCUUGAUACUCUGGUCUCACUUCAGAUU
This 131-nucleotide ribosomal RNA is filed under the name Erinaceus europaeus (western European hedgehog). Lineage: Eukaryota; Metazoa; Chordata; Mammalia; Eulipotyphla; Erinaceidae. The record is from RNAcentral.